RNAcentral lists this ribosomal RNA (230 nucleotides) under uncultured bacterium. RNAcentral's name for it is "partial 16S ribosomal RNA". It matches the Rfam family "Bacterial small subunit ribosomal RNA", at positions 92 to 339 of the family's 1533-position model. The record is from RNAcentral.
AAAGUGGCGGACGAGCGAGUAACACGUAAGUAGUUGCCCUGUACUCGGGGAUAACUGGUCGAAAGAUCAGCUAAUACCGGAUGGUCUCGAAAGAGUAAAGAUUUAUCGGUACAGGAGACGCUUGCGGCCUAUCAGCUAGUUGGUAAGGUAAAGGCUUACCAAGGCUAUGACGGGUAUCUGGUGUGAGAGCACGACCAGACGCGAUGGGACUGAGACACGGCCCAUACUCC